GAGUUUGAUCGUGGCUCAGGACGAACGCUGGCGGCGUGCUUAACACAUGCAAGUCGAACGAGAAUCUACUGAAAGAGUUUUCGGACAAUGGAGUAGAGGAAAGUGGCGGACGGGUGAGUAACGCGUGAGGAACCUGCCUUGAAGAGGGGACAACAGUUGGAAACGACUGCUAAUACCGCAUGAUGCAUAAGGGUCGCAUGAUUCUUAUGCCAAAGAUUUAUCGCUUCAAGAUGGCCUCGCGUCUGAUUAGCUAGUUUGGCGGGGUAACGGCCCACCAAGGCGACGAUCAGUAGCCGGACUGAGAGGUUGAACGGCCACAUUGGGACUGAGAUACGGCCCAGACUCCUACGGGAGGCAGCAGUGGGGAAUAUUGGGCAAUGGGCGCAAGCCUGACCCAGCAACGCCCGCGUGAGGGAAGAAGGCUUUCGGUAUGUAAACUUCUAUCAGCAGGGAAGAAAA
Molecule: ribosomal RNA, 459 nt
Filed under: uncultured microorganism
Description: bacterial SSU rRNA
Rfam family: Bacterial small subunit ribosomal RNA
Source: RNAcentral